This 253-nucleotide ribosomal RNA is filed under the name uncultured bacterium. RNAcentral's name for it is "partial 16S ribosomal RNA". It matches the Rfam family "Bacterial small subunit ribosomal RNA", at positions 524 to 776 of the family's 1533-position model. The record is from RNAcentral.
UACGGAGGGUGCGAGCGUUAAUCGGAAUUACUGGGCGUAAAGCGCACGCAGGCGGUCUGUCAAGUCGGAUGUGAAAUCCCCGGGCUCAACCUGGGAACUGCAUCCGAAACUGGCAAGCUUGAGUCUCGUAGAGGGGGGUAGAAUUCCAUGUGUAGCGGUGAAAUGCGUAGAGAUGUGGAGGAAUACCGGUGGCGAAGGCGGCCCCCUGGACAAAGACUGACGCUCAUGUGCGAAAGCGUGGGGAGCAAACAGG